Molecule: unclassified non-coding RNA, 330 nt
Filed under: soil metagenome
Description: partial contains 5.8S ribosomal RNA, internal transcribed spacer 2, and large subunit ribosomal RNA
Rfam family: 5.8S ribosomal RNA (bases 1-120)
Source: RNAcentral
GAUGAAGAACGCAGCGAAAUGCGAUAAGUAAUGUGAAUUGCAGAAUUCAGUGAAUCAUCGAAUCUUUGAACGCACAUUGCGCCCCCUGGUAUUCCGGGGGGCAUGCCUGUUCGAGCGUCAUUUCACCACUCAAGCCUCGCUUGGUAUUGGGCAACGCGGUCCGCCGCGUGCCUCAAAUCGACCGGCUGGGUCUUCUGUCCCCUAAGCGUUGUGGAAACUAUUCGCUAAAGGGUGUUCGGGAGGCUACGCCGUAAAACAACCCCAUUUCUAAGGUUGACCUCGGAUCAGGUAGGGAUACCCGCUGAACUUAAGCAUACAAUAAGCGGAGGA